ACUGGUUCGCCCUGUCCGCCAGGCAGGCGCGUCGUAAGAGGGAACCCGGUGGAAGUCCGGGACUGCCCCGCAGCGGUGAGUGGGAACGACCGCCGUCAUACGCACUGGGCCCGGCCGGGUCUGGGAAGCGACGGCCAGUAGAUGUCCGCCCUUGGUGGAUGUGCCCGCGAGUCCGAAGACCUGCCAGU
Molecule: non-coding RNA, 188 nt
Filed under: Streptomyces sp.
Lineage: Bacteria; Bacillati; Actinomycetota; Actinomycetes; Kitasatosporales; Streptomycetaceae
Source: RNAcentral